GCCUGGUUGGCUCAGUCAGGGAAGCAUGUGACUCUGGAUCUCAGGGUCAUGAGUUCAAGCCCCACAUUGGGCA
This 73-nucleotide transfer RNA is filed under the name Canis lupus familiaris (dog). It matches the Rfam family "tRNA". Rfam says of the family: Transfer RNA (tRNA) molecules are approximately 80 nucleotides in length. Their secondary structure includes four short double-helical elements and three loops (D, anti-codon, and T loops). Further hydrogen bonds mediate the characteristic L-shaped molecular structure. tRNAs have two regions of fundamental functional importance: the anti-codon, which is responsible for specific mRNA codon recognition, and the 3' end, to which the tRNAs corresponding amino acid is attached (by aminoacyl-tRNA synthetases). tRNAs cope with the degeneracy of the genetic code in two manners: having more than one tRNA (with a specific anti-codon) for a particular amino acid; and 'wobble' base-pairing, i.e. permitting non-standard base-pairing at the 3rd anti-codon position. The record is from Rfam by way of RNAcentral. Lineage: Eukaryota; Metazoa; Chordata; Mammalia; Carnivora; Canidae. RNAcentral also lists the same sequence under 3 other names.